AAUGAACGCUGGCGGCGUGCCUAACACAUGCAAGUCGGAUGUGCCGCAAGGUGCAUGGCAGACGGGUGAGUAACGCGUAGGGAAUCUACCUUUUUGUGGGGAAUAACGCUCCGAAAGGAGUGGUAAUACCGCAUGAGACCGUGAGCUGGGAUGUUCACGGUGAAACCUGGGGACCGCAAGGCCUGGGCAAAAAGAGGAUCCUGCGUCUGAUUAGCUAGUUGGCGGGGUAAUGGCCCACCAAGGCGACGAUCAGUAGCCGGCCUGAGAGGGUGAUCGGCCACACUGGAACUGAGACACGGUCCAGACUCCUACGGGAGGCAGCAGUGGGGAAUUUUGCGCAAUGGACGAAAGUCUGACGCAGCAACGCCGCGUGGGUGAUGAAGGUCUUCGGACUGUAAAACCCUGUCGUCAGGGACGAAGGUGGCAGUGUUAAUAGCGCUGUUACUUGACGGUACCUGGAGAGGAAGCCCCGGCUAACUCUGUG
RNAcentral lists this ribosomal RNA (484 nucleotides) under uncultured bacterium. RNAcentral describes it as "partial 16S ribosomal RNA". It matches the Rfam family "Bacterial small subunit ribosomal RNA", at positions 29 to 507 of the family's 1533-position model. The record is from RNAcentral.